UGGUGGCGGCUUCAUUUAUGUAUGUAUGAUUUUAUAUAUAUUAAGUAGACAUCGAUCAUAUUUAUGGUUGUCCUCCACUUCCGUAACCAGAUCCAUAACCUGAACCAUAUCCAUGUCCAGAACCACCACCUCCUCCAUGGCCACCGCCACCACCUCCUCCAUGACCACCGCCUCCAUUUCCGCUUCCUGAACCAUAACCAGAUCCACUGCCAGAGCCAUAUCCCGAUCCGUUCCCACCACCAUGUCCACCACCACCUCCACCGCCAUGUCCACCACCUCCUCCUUGCCCACCACCGUAACCAGAACCGCUUCCAGAUCCAUAACCACUCCCUGAUCCAUGACCACUUCCCGAUCCUCCACCACCACCAUGUCCGCCUCCACCACCACCACCGUGUCCACCUCCACUCCCUUUACCACUUCCAUAACCUGAACCGGAUCCAUAGCCACUACCAGAUCCUUGACCUCCACCGCCACCGUGUCCCCCUCCACCACCGCCUCCACUACCAUACCCACCUCCUUUCCCAUGUCCCGAACCAUAUCCUGAGCCAUAACCAGAACCACUUCCCUUCCCACUACCUCCUCCUCCUCCACCGCCGCCGCCACCUCCACCACCACCUCCAUUAUUCGACCAAACCCUGGUUGCAGAGGUCAUGCCUAGGAAGAGCAUGACAACCAAAGUAGCACCCAACACUUUAGACAUAGCCAUUGAUGGUUAUAUAUUUUAGAAAGUUAAAAGAGAGAUGUGUGUUGUUGUGAAGUGUGCAUGGGAUGGUGUUGGUAUUUAUACCAAUUUUCGGCUCAUGAAAUAAUUAACAUCUGCCAACUGUUUCGGACUUUAAGAGUUUGAAGUCAGAAAUUUGGCGCCAACUCAUCGCCUAAUAAGCCAAAACACUUUGUUGAAUUCAUCAUAUUAAACGACAAUGAUAUCGAAAAGAAGUUCAAUUUUAAUCCACAAAUUUUCACCGACAUCAAACUAUUUGACUGAAUUAAUGUAAUUAUUCGAUUAAAAAAAUGGUAGUUAGUAAGUCACGGUCAUACCAGAUAAGUAGAUAACCCUACUUUAAUUAAACCAUAAAAAGACUUCGGCUUCAAUCCACUUAUUUUCACCGACACCGCAAGUUUUUGACCUCCAAAUUGUAAUAUUCGAUUCAAAAGUUAGUGAGUCACAAUCAAGUUAGAUAAUCUUAUUUUACACUGUUUUUUAUUGACUUAUUUUCAAUUCACAUUCUUAAAUUUCCGUGUUCAUGUUUUUGUCUUUUUUGGGCAGACGUGUCUUGUAUGUUGUAUAAGACACUAACACAUGUAAGACGUAAAAUAAUGUACUGCGAAAGACGUUUAUUUUCAAUUCACAUUUUUAAAUGUCUGUUUUCAUGUUUUUGGCUUUUUUGUUAAAUUGAAAAUAAGACAUGAUUUUUCAAUUCUCAAAAACAAACAUAUAUAUUAAGUUUGAACGAAUCAAACUUGGUCUAUAAGUUUGAACAUAUAACCCAAUUUUUUUUUAUAAGAACCAAAUUAAAGCUCGAAUCGACCUCAAACUUAUUUUGUUAAUAAACAAGCCCGUAUAAGUUCGAAUCUUAACAAGCUCGGCUCUUAUUAAGCUCGUUCGGUAUCCAAGCACGAGGUUGGCUAACUGUAAUCAAGCACAAUUCUAAGCAAAACAAGCUAAUUGUAUUCAACACCAAAACAGAUGUUACAGACUUUGUAUUUAUAGUAAAUGUAUUAUAGUAAAUUAAAUGAUGGUGUAUAAUCGGAGAUGGGCUUACACGAUCAGAUUAAGGUUUAAUCCAUCUCUUUUUAGUAUAGUACAAGUGUCAAGGAUAACAAUACAAAUAAAUUAUACAUAGAGGAUCAACACGUAAAAUCAACCAAUUUGCACAGUUAUUCUCAAUACAACAGCUCUGAUCUCCUCCUUCUUCCCCCUUCUUCGUAUUCUCAACACUCUUCAACUCUCAACAAAGUGUAACGUGUUCUCCCUCAUUCUAAAAGGUUGCUAUUUAUUAACCUUCUUCUAACCUCGGGCCAGGCCGGGAUUGGGCCGAACAGAUAUGGGGAUGUUCCCUGGCCGCUCUAGCGGACCAGGGGUAUCAUCAGUAUAUACUCCCUCGACGGUCCUUGUUCGUUGAUGCUCUUGUUGGGUCAGUCCAAAGAGCCAAGGGUAUCAUCAGUACCCUCUUCCCACUUCUUGGAGCCUAUAAAUACAUUGAUGUCUCCUCUUUUUUCUUCAUAACCGAACUAAUCAUGCAUUCUUCUGCAGGUCCUCGAUGAGUUGAGGCGUGAGUUGGUGCACCGGUAGGCUGUCUGGUCGUAAUGUUUGAUCCUCUCUGAAUUCGAUCUUAGGGCUCUUAUCGCUAUUGAGAGUGACCGGUUGAAUGCUUUACAACUUAUAGUGUACCAUCGUUUGGCUUCCUUUCAUCAGGUUGACACAGAUUCGAUCGCGUUGGGGAUUGUCACUCAAGUUGUUGUGCCUUCCUCUCGGGUUGUGGCCCCUUCUCCUUGUGGCCGAGCUUCUGUCCCACAAGGUGAAUCUUCCGACUCUACUGCUCCUUCUGUUGUUUCCCUUUCGCUGCCCUCAUAACACCGUCGGGGUCGUCGACACCGACCACAUCGUGCGUUGUCUGAACGGUCAGUCAUUGACCUCCGCCACUACAUAUCGUGUGGGGCCACUUGAUAGCCUUCCCAGUCUUCUCAUAGGGAACCCCUCCGCGAGCUUCUCCGUUUGUAAUCUUACUUUUAUUUUCUUAGAGUCUUUGUUUUCGACUCACCCCCGCUGUAAUAGCUUAUUUUCUAAUGCAACUCCGUUAUUUGUUUUCGACUCCUAGAACCUAUCCCCUCGUGCUCUUUGCUUUUGCUCUUCCGGGGAUCAGAUCGAUCGGUUCUUCUAGAUCCUAUCUCUCGGGCCUACUUGAUUUUGCUGUGGGAUUUGGACGGCUCCUGGACCUAUCCCCUCGUGUUCUAUCUUUUCUCCCUAUGAUUUGGAGAGUCUGAGCAGUUGUCAUAACCUAUUUCCAUCGAGAAGGACUUAUUUCUUCCCUACAACAUGAAGAAUCCGAGUUGUUCCUGGAAUCUAUCUCUGGGUGAUCGAGCGGGACUUAUUUCUUAUUCGGGGAUCCAAGCGGUCUGUGGGCCUAUCCCCUGGUCGUAAAUUGGAUCGACCUGUUUUCCUUGUUUUUUUGGACGUUUCACGCUAUGUUUUAGUUAUCCAAAGUGGCUCCUUGUUUUAUUUCGAUAUUGAAAAAACAAGUAUGUACGAAGCCCCCUUUUAUAUAGCUUACUAGUUACUGUCGAUCGGUACUUGGAAAAGGUGUCUGUAUGCCAAGUCCUUUCCAUUAGUUGUCCGUACUCGAACAUCAGUUGAAAUACACAUGGGUCGGACCUCCUCUUUUAUGAUGUACGGGGAGGUCCCCUACGGUCAAAUCCUUUUUCGAUACCUUCGUGUUGUGGUACCGGCCGGGCGGUCCUCCGCUUGUACGGUUAGCAUGGUCGUAUCGUUCUCUUCCGGGAUGUAUCCUAAGAUCUGAUUCAGUAGUCGACCAUACGAGUUCGGAAGAGGACACUGCACUGAUUUUGAAUGCUAAUGUGAACUGCGCGUAUCUGGUUGGGAUCUAUAAUGUGGUGCGGUAGGUCCACAUUAUUUCCGGGAUUAAGUUGGCCCAUGUACCCGGGUUUUCUCUGACUUUUCGCUUUAGAAUUGUCGUUAUUUUACGAUUUGUUACCUCCACCUGGUCAUUGGACUGGGGAUGAUAUACGGAGGUUAAAGUUAGCUUUAUUCCACUCUCUUUGAAAAACAUUUUGAAUUUUUUGCCUGCGAACUGCGUCCUAUUAUCGGCUAUUAUUUGCAUCGGGACUUCGAAACAGCAAACGAUGUUUAACACAAUAUUCUAUCAAAUUUUCACUAUCAUAUACUUUAUCAAAAAAAAUAAACCGAGGAUGGGACGCAGUUCAUUGUACAACUGUACUGUUUUCAUUGACUGAGAUAUUUAUUGAUAAUUUUAAAAUUAAGAUGCCAUUUUUUGUUGUUGUUAAAAAUCAUUUAUAUCAUAUGAAAUAUCUCAUGAAAACGUUUUUUAUUUAUUCAUAUCAUGACUGUGGUGGCUUCAUAUAUGUAUGUAUGAUUUUAUAUAUAUCAAGUAGACGUUGAUCGUAUUUAUGGUCGUCCUCCACUUCCGUAACCCGAGCCUGAUCCAUAACCAGAACCAUAUCCAUGUCCAGAACCACCACCUCCUCCAUGGCCACCGCCACCACCUCCUCCAUUGCCAUAACCACCAUUUCCGCUACCUGAACCAUAACCAGAUCCACUGCCAGAGCCAUAUCCCGAUCCGUUCCCACCACCACCUCCACCGCCAUGUCCACCACCUCCUCCUUUUCCACCACCGUAACCAGAACCACUUCCAGAUCCAUAACCACUACCUGAUCCAUGACCACUUCCCGAUCCUCCACCACCACCAUGUCCACCUCCGCCACCACCACCGUGUCCACCUCCACUCCCUUUACCACUUCCAUAACCUGAACCGGAUCCAUAGCCACUACCAGAUCCUUGACCUCCACCGCCACCAUGUCCCCCUCCACCACCGCCUCCACUACCAUACCCACCUCCUUUCCCAUGUCCCGAACCAUAUCCUGAGCCAUAACCAGAACCACUUCCCUUCCCACUACCUCCUCCUCCUCCACCGCCGCCACCUCCACCACCACCUCCAUUAUUCGACCAAACCCUGGUUGCAGAGGUCAUGCCUAGGAAGAGCAUGACAACCAAAGUAGCACCCAACACCUUAGACAUAGCCAUUGAUGGUUAUAUAUUUUAGAAAGCUAAAAGAGAGAUGUGUGUUGUUGUGAAGUGUGCAUGGGAUGGUGUUGGUAUUUAUACCAAUUUUCGGCUCAUGAAAUAAUUAACAUCUGCCAACUGUUUCGGACUUUAAGAGUUUGAAGUCAGAAAUUUGGCGCCAACUCAUCGCCUAAUAAGCCAAAACACUUUGUUGAAUUCAUCGUAUUAAACGACAAAGAUGUCGAAAAAAAGUUCAAUUUCAAUCCAACCGAUACCAAACUAUUUGACUGAAUUGUAAUAUUCGAUUAAAAAAUGGUAGUUAGUAAGUCACAGUCAUACCAGCUAAAUAACUUUUUUUUUAUUGACUAAGUUUCAGUUUACACAUUCUUAAAUUUCUGUGUUGAUUUUUCACUUUUUUUAAUCAUCUCUUAAAUAAAAAAAUAUUAUAUAAUAUUAACAGAUGAUAUAAAAUUCAAGGGUUAUUUGUAAGUAAACCCAUAUAUUAUCUGAUUCCUGCCUAACAAGCUUAAACACUUUAUUUAUUUAUUUGAUUCCAAUCCACAAAUUUUCAGCCGACAUGCAGCACAAGUAUUUCAUUAAAUUAUAAUAUUUGAUUUAAAAUUUAGUGAGUGACAAUCAUGACAGAUAAUCUUUUCUUCUUGAGUUUAAAGUUAUUAAGUCUGUAAAUGGUAUAUCGAAAUCCAUAUUCGAAUCCGCAUUCGAAUUCGAAUAUGACUAUCCGGAUUCGGAUACCUGAAUUGAAAUCCAGAUUUUAUUCGGUCGGAUUCGGAUAUCCGGAAAAUCCGUCGAUAAAAUCCGAAUUCGUUUAAAAAUUUCGGAUUCGUUCUGAUAUCCGGAUAAAUAUAUAAUAAAUUAAUAUUAUUAUAUUAUAUAUUUUUAUUAUAAAUCAUUAAACACUUAAAGUUUUAAACCUAAUUACCUAAGUUAUAAUUAAUUAAUUAUAAAUCUUUAUAACUUAUUAACUUAUAAUUAUUAAAUCCCAACCCUAAUCCUAACAGUAACCCUAAAGUUAUUCAGAUUCGGAUUAUUUGAAUUCGAAUUAUCCGAAAAUCCGGAUAAUUUAUUCGGAUUAUUCGGAUAUCUGGAUAAUUUAUCCUUCGAAUUUUCAAAUCCGGAUUUUAUUCGAUCGGAUUCCUACAUAUCUGAUCCGAAUCCGAGCGAUAUACAGGCUUAAAAGUUAUAAUGUAAUAUCACAAGUGAUGACAAUAUUCUAAUUAUAGCAAUCAUAAUAGUUAAUUACAACUCGAUUAGUCUAGUUGGUCGCACACACUAUUAAAGUUAACCGAAGGUCUAAAGUUGACAGAGUACUUGUCGAGGAGAUGGAGCCCGCAACUGACGACAAGAUGACAGAGAAUGAUUCUAACGACCAACGGUUUGCCUGGAAAGAGGGUGCGUCAGCUGAAGGGUCCGCCUACUGAAUACCUGGUACCAGGACUUUGUAACCUAAUCACGAUGGUCAAAGGGGCACGACGAGUUCUUUAAAUUUAUCUGGAGAAUUUAGUAAUUAGUUGGUCGUCGGGAUGGAAGAAAAUGAGUUGUAUUUUUAUUUUCUUUAAUCAACUGAUACCAUCUCAGAAACGCAAUUCAUUUAUUAACAACUAAAAUCAAUUCCAUAAAAUGAUUAACCCAAAAGCUUGGGUAAUACAAACUAUUUAUAGUAUGGUUAAGUCUAAAGUAAAUUGUUAAUCACACUUUAAACUAAUUACAAUGUUAUGAUCAUUACAGCAAUAUUGUUUAUUUAAUUCUCACACCCGUCACUGAUCUCCGCCAAUACAUAUCGCGUGGGGCUACUGAUGUCUACCCUACCGUCUCAUGAGGAACCCCGCAAGCUGCUACGAUUUUGUUUUAGUUAUAUUUUAAUUUCCUUUUGUAAUCUCACUUUUACUUUCCCUGCAGUCUUUGUUUUCGUCUCGUCCUCGAUGUAAUAGCUCAUUUUCUAAUGCAACUCCGUUAUUCGUUUUCACCUGAUUACUCAGAUAUUCGUUUCCUGUUCUUCCAUGAGUUUGACGGGUUGUUUAUCGACUAUUUGGUCGCGGGUGCUCCUACUGCUUCGGGACGGGUUGUGAUCUAUGGGGGCUCUUGGGUUGUUAUCCCUCCGACCUGGGAGUUUGUUGAUCGAGAAGCUUCGAGGUCGACCGGUUGAUCGAGAAGCUUCAGAAGAUGGGGGUCGACCUCAAGGCAACAGAGCUUCGGUGCAUUACCGCAUUAGCCGACAACGAAACUCUCAAGCAUGAGACCGGGAAAGCGGUCAAUUUCUUCAAUGAGAGAGCCUAGAAGAUGAGGGCCAAGCGGAAGAACGAUCUACUUGGUCAUUUCGUUGCUAGGAUGAAGUGUGAGAGUAACCUUGUCCAGCUAUCCGUUGAAGAUUUCAUCGUUCCGAUCAACCUCGCGCAGUGGGAAGAGUGGAAGAGCAUUGGGCCUCCUGAACUUCCUCCGGAUUGAUCACGGUUCCGAAGCUUCCAGAAGAUCACGAAGCAGAGCCUUCCUAAGUUCGUUUUUUUCUUUCCUACUUUAUGUUUGUAUCCCAGUACACUAGUUUUGCCUUUUCUUAUUUCACCAAUACUUUUUUUUUGCUAUUUGUUUUGUAUCUGUGUUUGCUUUUGCUCUCCCGACCCUACUUGACUUUUGUUGGGAAAUCCAGACGCUCCUAGAACCUAUCUUCUCGUGCUCUUUAAUUUGCUUCCACUCUUUGGUUUUGCUCUUCCAGGGGAUCCGGUCGGUUCUUCUAGAACCUAUCUCCCGACCCUAAUUAAUUUUACUAGGGGAUCCAGACGGCUCCUAUAAAACCUAUCUCCUCGUGUUCUUUCUUUUCUUCCUAUGGUCCGGAGAGUCCGAGAAGUUGUGAUAACCUAUCUCCCGACCAUCGAGCAAGACUUAUUUCUUCCCUACGACCUGAAGAAUCUGAAUUGUUCCUGGAAUCUAUCUCUGGGUCAUCGAGCGGGACUUAUUUCUUUUCCGGGGAUCCGAGCGGUCCAUGGGCCUAUCCUCUGGUCGUAAAUUGGGUCGACUUGUUUUCCUUCCUUAGCUUUAUUCUGCUUUCUUUGCAGAACAUUUUCAGUAUUUUGUCUGCGAAUUGCAUCCCAUUGUCAGUUACUAUUUGCAUCGGGACUCCGAAACGACAAACGAUGUUUAACAUAAUAUUCUAUUUAAUGUCAUGUUCGCAAAUUUUCACCAACUAAAAUUGGAUAUUAGUAAGUCACUAUCAUUUAUUCAUAUCACAACUGUACUUUAUCAAAAAAAAUUAAAUCAAAUUGACAUUUUUCAUUGACUGAGAUAUUUAUUGAUAAUUUUAAAAUUAAGAUGUCAUUUUUUGUUGUUAUUAAAAAUCAUUUAUCUCAUUCGAAAUAUCUCAUGAAAACGUUUUUUAUUUAUUAAUAUCACGAUUGUAGUGGCUUCAUAUAUGUAUGUAUGUAUGUAUGAUUUUAUAUAUAUCAAGUAGACGUUGAUCAUAUUUAUGGUCGUCCUCCACUUCCGUAACCAGAGCCUGAUCCAUAACCUGAACCAGAUCCAGAUCCAGACCCACCACCUCCUCCAUGGCCACCGCCACCACCUCCUCCAUUGCCGUAACCACCAUUUCCGCUACCUGAACCAUAACCAGAUCCACUGCCAGAGCCAUAUCCCGAUCCGUUCCCACCCCCUUGUCCACCACCACCUCCACCGCCAUGUCCACCACCUCCUCCUUGGCCACCACCGUAACCAGAACCGCUUCCAGAUCCAUAACCACUCCCUGAUCCAUGAUCACUUCCAGAUCCUCCACCACCACCGUGUCCACCUCCACCACCACCACCGUGUCCACCUCCACUCCCUUUACCACUUCCAUAACCUGAACCGGAUCCAUAGCCACUACCAGCUUGACCUCCACCGCCACCGUGUCCCCCUCCACCGCCGCCUCCACUACCAUACCCACCUCCUUUCCCAUGUCCCGAACCAUAUCCUGAGCCAUAACCAGAACCACUUCCCUUUCCACUACCUCCUUCUCCACCACCGCCGCCACCUCCACCACCACCUCCAUUAUUCGACCAAACCCUGGUUGCAGAGGUCAUGCCUAGGAAGAGCAUGAUAACCAAAGUAGCACCCAACACCUUAGACAUAGCCAUUGAUGGUUAUAUAUUUUAGAAAGCUAAAAGAGAGAUGUGUGUUGUUGUGAAGUGUGCAUGGGAUGAUGUUGGUAUUUAUACCAAUUUUGGACUCAU
RNAcentral lists this long non-coding RNA (8973 nucleotides) under Zostera marina. RNAcentral's name for it is "long non-coding RNA (ZMAR_LNC000091)". The record is from RNAcentral. Lineage: Eukaryota; Viridiplantae; Streptophyta; Magnoliopsida; Alismatales; Zosteraceae.